UACGUAGGGGGCUAGCGUUGUCCGGAAUCAUUGGGCGUAAAGAGCGCGUAGGCGGUCCGAUAAGUCGGCUGUGAAAGUCAGGGGCUCAACCCUUGGAAGCCGGCCGAUACUGUCGGACUAGAGUCCGGAAGAGGCGAGUGGAAUUCCCGGUGUAGCGGUGAAAUGCGCAGAUAUCAGGAGGAACACCGGUGGCGAAGGCGGAUCUCUGGGCCUGUCCUGACGCUGAGGCGCGAAAGCUAGGGGAGCGAACAGG
Molecule: ribosomal RNA, 253 nt
Filed under: uncultured bacterium
Lineage: Bacteria
Description: partial 16S ribosomal RNA
Rfam family: Bacterial small subunit ribosomal RNA
Source: RNAcentral